Molecule: ribosomal RNA, 253 nt
Filed under: uncultured bacterium
Lineage: Bacteria
Description: partial 16S ribosomal RNA
Rfam family: Bacterial small subunit ribosomal RNA
Source: RNAcentral
UACAGAGGUGGCAAGCGUUGUUCGGAAUUACUGGGCGUAAAGGGCGCGUAGGCGGCCUUCUAAGUCAGACGUGAAAUCCCCCGGCUUAACCUGGGAACUGCGUCUGAUACUGGAAGGCUUGAGUGCGGGAGAGGGAUGUGGAAUUCCAGGUGUAGCGGUGAAAUGCGUAGAUAUCGGGAGGAACACCAGUGGCGAAGGCGGUUGCCUGGAGCUUUGCUGACGCUGAUGCGCGAAAGCGUGGGGAGCGAUCCGG